Passer montanus (Eurasian tree sparrow) is the source of this 3608-nucleotide RNA transcript. It is a transcript of the gene named intraflagellar transport 27, with no coding region annotated. The record is from RefSeq and is a predicted model, not a curated record. Lineage: Eukaryota; Metazoa; Chordata; Aves; Passeriformes; Passeridae. The transcript has 8 exons.
UCGGUUGCCAGGGCCCCGCGGUUGCCAAGGGCUCGGUUCGGCGCGGUGGCGGCUCCCGCUGCCGCCGCCCGGGCCCGCCGCCGCCGCCUGCCCCGGGCCGGCGCGAUGGUGACGCUCGCUGCCAAGUGCCUGCUGGCAGGAGAUCCAGCUGUGGGUAAGAGUGCUUUAGCCCAGAUGUUUCGCAGUGAUGGGGCUCAUUUUCAGAAGAACUACACACUGACAGCGGGCAUAGAACUGUUGGUGAAAGCUGUAUCAGUUCCAGAGACAAGUGAUAGUGUGGAAUUCUUCAUUUUUGACUCUGCAGGAAAAGAUCUAUUUUCUGAAAUGCUGGAGAAACUGUGGGAGCAACCCAACGUCCUGUGCCUUGUGUAUGAUGUCACUAAUGAGCAAUCCUUCGACAACUGUAACAAAUGGUUGGAGAAGCUGAGGGCUCAAGCAGUUGGGAUGCACAUCCCAGGUGUCUUAGUGGGGAAUAAAACAGACCUAGCUGAUCGUCGAGUUGUGGAGCAGGAACAAGCACAGGAGUGGGCUGAGAAACAUGGCCUGGAAUACUGUGAGAUGUCAGUGAAGGAAAUGAAAAAUUUUGAGGCCCCUUUCCACAUCCUGGCAAAGUUAUUCCACCAACUGUACAAAGAGAAAGUGGAAACUUUUCACUCACUAGCCUGACUGGUAUGAUUUAUUUAUCCUCUAAGCUUCUUCUAGUACUGAGAAUCCUGCUGGACUGCAUACAGAGAGAAGAAAAAAUAUGAGCUAUUUGCUACUUCAUGGUCAUCCUCUGAAUCUCUUUCAUUCCUUCGACCUGGCUCACUGUCCCUGCCUGGUGGGAGCUGUGUCGCGUCCAACCGCUGUCACUUGGUGACGCAGUGCCCUCUGCUGGUCCCAGGUCACAGGAGUUCUCCAGAGGCUGCCACCUCCCUUGAAGUGAGCAGGAUGGGCCUCCUGCAGGCACAUCCAAAUUGGCUUAGCUGCAAAAUGGAGUGAAAUUGCAAGAAUACAUUUUCUAUUCUAAAGAUUAAUCUAAAACUUACAAAAAAUUACCUUUUCGUCUUCAUGUCUUUAUCAUCUUACAUAUUGUUGUGUCAUUUUUGUCAGCUGAAUUUGGCAAUACCGUUCUGAUUAGGUUCAGUUCUCCAUCUCAAAAUCAAAGUCCUCUUAUUAAAGUCUCUCCGCUUGUCAUUGAAUUUCAGAUAAAAGACCACGGUUCUGAUGUUGCUAGUGGAAACAGGACUAAGGAAAUGAAAGACAGCCUGGCUAAGUUACUCUGACUCAGCUGUGUCUGGCUAGAAGUUUCGUAUUAGAAAGGGUGAAAGCUUAGAGAGAGUUGCUCUAUUGUGUGGAGUACUAAUGUUCCAUGUGUAAGACCCUUUGCUAAUGCAGUAUGCAAAAGCAUCUGUGGUAAGGUACUGCCUUGUAACUGAGCCUAACACCAAGACUUUCAAAAAUGUAACCAUUAUCUACCCGAUUAUGGUAGACUCCCUUGGGCAAGGGAAGCUGAGUUUUGUAGAGACUGAGCACUGAGUGAUUUUUCAGGCAGUCUUUUCAGGAAUCUGUGUUUCAGGACUUCUAUACGUGUGGUUUAUAAUCAUUUUUAUGCCCAGUGCUAGGAAAAGUACAUUAAAUUGAACGUAAGAAAUAUGGCUGCAGAUGUUGUAGCAGGCUUUGUGAAGCACUUCAAGAAUCUGGAGAAGCACUGCCCUCAUUUCACUGGCAACAGUGUGUUGAUGCUGAGAACUCGCUAGGGAGCAUGAAUACCAGUUAAAGAGGAUGAGUAGGAGCUCAAUCUAUAAGAAGUAAAAACAAGAGGUUCUUUUGCUAAAAGCCAACUCAAAAAUGACAGAACAAGCUGGGAAAGCUUCUGCUUUCUCCAAAGAAGGAAGGAGUCCUCUAUGAACUUCGGGUAACUAGAAGACUCACUCUUUUUGAACCUGAUAGCACUACCGGCAUUUGUAUCUUGGAGGGGUUGUCUUGUUAAUCCUGGGUGUUUUCUGUUGAUUUGCAUAGGCCGUAUAGACUCUUGCUUGCAGGUGCUGGUAUCUGCACCUUUUAUUCUUACUCUGACUAGUAAGAAUAAAAGCUAUUUUGGAUGCUGUGCUGAUCCAGUUAAAGAACUAAAGAAGUUUUUUUUUUAUUUGGUAUCUCAUUUCCCCCUGGUUCUAUUGACAAUGUGAUCACAAAACAAGACACAUAUUUUUUCAUAUUGAAAAUAACAUCAGAUGUAUAUGUCACCUGUGACAGGGUGUAUCUAGAGGAAGAAUGUCUUGGGAAUAGGUAAUAAAAUUAAUUCUGUGCAAUCUUUGACCAGGGAGUCUAUCGCUCUGCACCUGAAGGACCUCCCAUAACUUCAAAUAAACACUCUAAAUGUGCCUGUAAGAUGAAGAUUGGUGAAUGCUGUUUUAUAAAAUAAAUGCAAAAGCUGGAGGAGCUCAUUAAGAGAAUGCUUGCAGUGGUGAUUUUUGAUUUAUGGGGAAGCUGCUUUUGAGAAGUUAGUGAAGAAAAAUGCAGCCCAUGCAGGGAAAGAUGUAUUGCCUGAGAGAGGAAAUGUAUGAUCUAAUUAGCUAACAGUAGGGGUUCACCCACUGCCCCUUUCCCUCUUCCACCAGCCACAACCACAAUUAGAAAAGAAGUCAUGUUUAAAGCAUGUUGUCCAACUUGCUUUUUACAGGACUAUUUCAAGCACUAGUAUGGACACAGUUUAAUGUCCUUCAAAAUAGUGUGUUUGACCAUAACAAUCUCAACCCUUUCAAAUCUAUUUUAACAGCAUAAUAUAUUGUCCUUCCUGGCUAAUGUGCUGUAUAAUACCAGCCUGAUGCAAGUGGUGGUUGUUGCUGUUUUCCUGGCUUAAUUGUGACCUUGUUUGUAGAGGCUAGGAGUGAAGAGGGGGUAGAAAACAUGGGAGCCAAACAUGGGAAAGUUGUGGGAAAUAGUUUUGUCUCUGUGUGAAGGAGUUCAGGGUGGUGAGUAAGUGAGCUGGACCAGCAGGAUGAGUAAGAGACUGGAGCUAUUAUUAAGUUUCUCCUACCUGUUUACUAACUGUGGAAGUCACAUCUGUAGAGUGAGGAUGAGUGUUUGCUGCUUAUAGGCUUAGCAUCAGUCUGAAUUACAGAUGCUGUGGCGAACAGUGGGAGGAAGACAGAAAGCCUGUCUGCUGACCAGGAAGCUUGUUGUCUUCUUACAGCUCCCCUGCUUUGUUCAGCUGUGCAGUGCUGCAGGUGCUCAGCAUGAGUGUUACAACACAGAAAAGACCCAGCUCAACCAGAACUGAAAUAUCAAUAAAAGAGGAAAGAAACCAACAGGCCUUUAACUAGUUUUAAUAGAUAUGUAGUCCUUUUUCCUGCUUGCUUGUUUGAUUAGACAAAACCAUUUCUUUCCUCCCUGGAGUCCCUCCUUACCUUUCCUUUGGUCCUCAUGGGUCUGCACAGAAUCUCUGUUAUGCUUGUGCCCUGCUUUACUUAGCUUGAUACAUCAUCAGCUGAUUUUUUUUUAUCCUUCUAAUUUCUGCAUUAUCUAUUCCCAAGGCUGCAAGACAUUUCUUCUUAGAUUAAUAGACAAAAGGAAACAAAAGUGGAAUUUUUAGUCAAAUUGUCUUGAAAUAAAAUACCUUAAGAAGC